CCUGCUACCGCCCAUGCGCAGAGAGAGGGGGCAACAGCGACGGAGAAAACAACAACAACAAGAGAACAGCGAGAUGGCUCCAUGAAUACAGGCCAACUUCACUCUCACCCAGUUACUAUCCACAACCUACCCGACUGCUGCUUUCUCACACGGCUGGAUUAGAUGGUGCCGGGCCCAUGAACUUGGCUAGUCAGAGCGGGGAGACCGGCUGUAGCCAGCUCCUCUUCGCCAACUUUAACCAGGACAACACGUCUUUAGCUGUUGGAACCAAAUCAGGCUACAAGUUCUUCUCCCUAUCGUCUGUGGACAAGUUGGAGCAGAUUUAUGAAUGUACGGACACAGAGGAUGUGUGUAUUGUAGAGCGUCUGUUCAGCAGUAGUCUGGUGGCGAUCGUCAGUCUGAAGGCUCCUAGGAAGCUGAAGGUCUGUCACUUCAAGAAGGGAACGGAGAUCUGUAACUAUAGUUACAGUAACACUAUACUGGCUGUCAAGCUCAACAGACAGAGGCUCAUAGUAUGUCUGGAGGAAUCUCUGUACAUCCACAACAUCAGAGACAUGAAGGUCCUGCACACCAUCAGAGAGACACCUCCCAACCCCUCAGGGUUGUGUGCUCUCUCCAUCAGUAAUGAUAACUGUUACCUGGCCUACCCCGGCAGUGCUACAAUAGGAGAGGUCCAGGUGUUCGACACGGUCAACCUGAGGGCAGCCAACAUGAUCCCAGCCCAUGACAGUCCAUUAGCAGCUGUGGUGUUUGAUGCUAGCGGAACCAAACUGGCCACAGCCUCGGAGAAGGGUACGGUGAUUCGUGUGUUCUCCAUCCCUGAGGGACAGAAACUGUUUGAGUUCCGUCGAGGAGUCAAAAGGUGUGUAUCUAUCUGUUCCCUGGCCUUCAGUAUGGAAGGCCUCUACCUAUCAGCAUCCAGUAACACGGAGACGGUCCACAUCUUCAAACUGGAGACGCAGAAAGAGAAGCCAACAGAGGAGCCGACGACAUGGGGUGGAUACUUUGGGAAGGUCCUGAUGGCGUCCACCACCUACCUGCCCUCUCAGGUGACAGAGAUGUUCACUCAGGGACGAGCCUUCGCCACCGUACGACUGCCCUUCUCUGGACACAAGAACAUCUGUGCUCUGGCCCUAUAUCGCCAAGCUCUAACACUCACACGCUGGGAAGCGCACACACAGUCAGAUGAGUCUGAUUCAAGUUUGUGUGUGUGUGUGUGUGUAGGAUCCAAAAGAUUCCUCGUCUCCUGGUAGCUGCAGCUGAUGGAUAUCUGUACCUCUAUAACCUGGACCCACAGGAGGGGGGAGAGUGUACCCUGAUGAAACAACACAGGUUAGACGGCAGUGCCGAGCCGCCCAAUGAGAUCCUGGAACAGGGGUCACAUGACCGACCCCUUACUGCACAGACCUACAACACUGCUGGGAUGAAAGGUUACUGUGAGGAGGCGGGUGCAGUGGGAGGGGCGGGACUAGAGGAUGACCUCAGCGAUCUGCGAUUGGACGAUGAGAAUGAAGAGCAGCCGCCACUCAUCCUGGAGACGGACUGACUGCCACCUACAGCAACCAAUCAGAGAGCCCCUCUGGUGCUGCUAGGAACAUGUAACAUGGAGGGUGGGAUUAAAAACUCUCAGCGUUCAACAGCGCCUCUGUCUGUCUGUCUGUGGAUGUGUACAUGUUUCUCCCUCCCUCCCCCUCUGUCUCCCUCCCUCCCCCUCUGUCUCCCUCCCUCCCUCUGUCCGCCUGUGCAGGUGACUCUUUAGCUUUGCAUGUACAUGUGCCAAGACCAGAACGCUACGCAACGCUCUAACAAGGACCUCUGAAGUGUGUGUGUGUGUGUGUUUGGGUGGGUGGGCUGAGCUGUAAAUGUGUGUGCUGGGCAUGUACAUUAGCAUACGUUAGCUUCCCAGUCGCUCACUGGCUACCCAAUCAGAUGAAGGCUCAGUGGACAAGCCUUGCCCCUUCUCGCUGAGGCCUUCAGACAUUGGCAGAUGAAAUUGAUUGACAGAUCAGUCAGACCAGUGUCUGAUUGGGCGAGGAAUUUAAUCCAUAGAGAUAGAGGACUCAUCAUGUAUAUCACCCGUUUUACCUUGGACAUUGCCAUCAUCCACCAUUUUAAAGUAGUCAACUGGGUGGGGAUUACAAUGGGUUGUAACUUCAAUGGUGCUGUCACAGACUCUAAUGGCACAGAUACAAAGAUGAUUCCUCUAUCUAACUCUAUGGUGUAACCAGGGAUGUAGCUAGGGGUGAGUGAUGUUUAGCCAAUAGAGGCCUACAUUCCUGGAGGUGAUGUCUGAUUUGAUUGGUCAGAAACUACAGGUAGUGACAUCAUCAAGGCGGGGCAUGUCCACUGGGUCUCGUCAGACACAUGCCUUCCCAUGAUCCUCUGGGGUGAGGCGGAGCGGCUGGACGGACGGGGUCACAUGAUCAGACGUUUUCUAAUGAUUCAUGAUUUUGUAUAAAAUGUGAAACGGUGUUGAUUGGGAAAUAAAUAAAGUCCAUGUUGAUGUAAC
Molecule: non-coding RNA, 2509 nt
Organism: Oncorhynchus mykiss (rainbow trout)
Lineage: Eukaryota; Metazoa; Chordata; Actinopteri; Salmoniformes; Salmonidae
Source: RefSeq, a predicted model, not a curated record